UGUGACAGCUCAGUUGUUGUCUGUUGUUGCUAGUGUGAAGUGCUCCCGGCUUUCGCCAAAAACGUGACAUCACGAUAAUAUCAGCGUUUUUGUGUGAAAAAUGGGGUCGAGGACCAAAUUGAUGUUAGAGUUAGCAAGAAAAAAAAAAGAUGAUGAUGGUUGCGAUGUUGUUUCAAAUGAUACUCGUAACAUGGAUUCUUCCGAUACUGAAGAGAAUGAAAUGAUCGAAAAUUCAGAGACAACUCAAAACUAUCGCCGCCGUUCUAAAUCUACAAGUUCAUCGUCCAGUAGUUCUUCCAGUAGCUCCUCGUCAUCAUCUUUUGUAGAAGGUCGGUAAAACUUAAAAGCUAAGUAA
This is a long non-coding RNA of Plodia interpunctella (Indianmeal moth), 355 nucleotides long. RefSeq lists it as uncharacterized. NCBI's taxonomy places the organism in Eukaryota, Metazoa, Arthropoda, Insecta, Lepidoptera, Pyralidae. The record is from RefSeq and is a predicted model, not a curated record. The transcript has 3 exons.